UUGUAUGAACGCACGCAGCAUAUAGCAAAUGAAACCACCUACAUAAAAUGUAGUGAAACACUUGUACUGCAAAACGCAUAACUAGUGUAGGGUUGCUCUUAUUCGCCUUUUUCCAGGCUUUAUUAGUCACUAUUUCUGUGUUGUAAAGGUAGGAAUCGAUUUCCGUUAUCUUUUUCUCUCACGUACUGAUGAACUUUAAACAAGUGGAGGCAAUAAGAAAAUCUGCGUGAAUCUGCAUCUCAAAUUUUUUGCACAUAACGGUGUGUAGCACAGUAGGUACACGUAUCUGUUUAAUGAUGAGCGAAGCAGUCCCAUAACGUGAUUUAGAAACACAAAUUUAACUCGGUCGACCAUUUUGACCUGUUUCGACGAAAGGUGUUCCUACGCUACCUGGAAUCAGUAAUAAGCUACGACACUAUCUUAAUAUCGAACAAGGCCAGCGUCAUUUAUAAAAUAAGUAUGGAGCAAGUGUAGCGGUAAAUUCGAUUGACUUUAAAGUUUCAAAGGUUGAUCAGCACAACUCGUUAUGCUGGCCAAAGUAAUGCAUGAAAUCAAAUUCAUUAUUUUUAAAUUCCAUCGUUUCCCGGUUCUGCUUGCGGUGUACGCAAUUCAUUUUUGGUCGAAAAAACCAGAGAUCUCUAAUUCUAGUCCAACUAAUGAAUACACGUACGUUGAAUCUAUAAGAAAUAAAAAACGUUUUCAACUCACUUAUUUGUGAUAACCGAGCGCUGAAAAUGCUUUUAUCAAUGCCCAUAACUGCGAAAAAACUUACAAAGUAAUUUAUUUAGUAUUUAACUUGACAUAAACUGUUGAGAGUUUUAACAGCACUUUUUUUUGGUUUUGAAAAAAAUUAACUGGUAAAAUAUAAUUCAUAGCCAGCCUGGAAGUUCCAUGGAACCAACUAUUCGCGCCACAGCAGACGACAUGCCAUUGGGUCUAGCAAAUAAACCUAGCCAUUGUCUGUUUUCUCUAUUAAUGUCUCAAGACUGGACACAUGCGGUAUUUGGCGGUGUUAUGGAGUUAUGGUUUUUCUUGGUAGAAAAUCCAGCAGAACUUACAAGACUGUUCGAAAAUAAGAACUUGUCGUGCAGAACAAUCUAAACAAACGGCGUACACACGGAGACUAACAUUCACCGCACUUAAGAGAAAAAACAAAAUAAUGAAGUUAAUUUUAAAUGAGUCCUUUUUUAGCUACUUUUACAAGAAUGACAAGUGUUCGCCCAGCGUUAUACCACGUGUGUCUAAUGGAAUGUCUCCAAGCCCAUGCUAUAACAAUGACCAUUUCUGUAUCCCGUUCUACAUAUUGGAAGUUGUGUACUAGUUUGCGAUAGUCGUUCUAAAAGGUACUCAGUUUCUCUUUCCCACUGGUUUCGUGAAUGUGCGAGGGCGUAGAACGAGUCGUGUUGCUUUGUUCUGCCGUAGUUGUGAAUUUACAACUGGGGUUUCACCUUGCAGUUAAAUUAAACCGAGUCAACAUCUACCCACGCUUGAGAUCGAAAACAAUUGUCGUGAUGUUACUGGUACGUUCACGACAGUUCGUUAUAUCUAUGGUGCUUCUGACAGGCUACGGAAUGUUCCUGUACAGUCAGUGGCCACUAGUAGCUGAAGCCGGAGUGACAGGCAAGCUUGAAGCAACACUCCACGGCUUAUUUUUUGGAUCUGGUGUCAUACUGGCGCUGUUACAUAUCUGACAUUUGUGCGGCAUACCUCUAGUAUUCGCCUGCCAUCAUCACUAUGAGUCCUGAUAUCAUCGUGCGCCGAUUGCAUACUGUAAAGAGGGCGUUAUUUUUGAACUACCCCAAUUAAAAACGGUAAAAUGACGUCGCUCAAGCAAAAAAUUACAAGUUUACAACGCCGUAAUGCCGGGAAUUCCCUGUACAUGGCGCAUGAAAGUAGUAAGAGCUAAAGAAGACCGAGGAGACAAGUUAAAGGAAGAUAAUUCGAGUCAGUUUCGCAUUUUUGGCAACCUCAUUUUCACCGUCUACGUAUGGCGUGAUACAGAGUGACUGCCACCCAUUAUAUGAAGCAUCGUAGUGAGACAAAGAACGCAUCUCAACUUAAAAACUUUCCGACUACUCUAGCUGGCUACUA
Varroa destructor (honeybee mite) is the source of this 2091-nucleotide long non-coding RNA. The record is from RefSeq and is a predicted model, not a curated record. NCBI's taxonomy places the organism in Eukaryota, Metazoa, Arthropoda, Arachnida, Mesostigmata, Varroidae.